RNAcentral lists this ribosomal RNA (102 nucleotides) under Triticum dicoccoides. Lineage: Eukaryota; Viridiplantae; Streptophyta; Magnoliopsida; Poales; Poaceae. The record is from RNAcentral.
GGAUGCGAUCAUACCAGCACUAAAGCACCGGAUCCCAUCAGAACUCCAAAGUUAAGCGUGCUUGGGCGAAAGUAGUACUAGAAAGUCCUCGUGUAGCAUUCC